GCCUCCGUAGCUCAAGUUGGUAGAGCAGCGGACUCUUAAUCCGCGGGCUGCAGGUUCGAGUCCUGCCGGAGGCA
This 74-nucleotide transfer RNA is filed under the name Anaerolineae bacterium. RNAcentral's name for it is "tRNA-Lys". It matches the Rfam family "tRNA". Rfam says of the family: Transfer RNA (tRNA) molecules are approximately 80 nucleotides in length. The record is from RNAcentral. Lineage: Bacteria; Bacillati; Chloroflexota; Anaerolineae.